Caenorhabditis elegans is the source of this 21-nucleotide non-coding RNA. The record is from Ensembl. Lineage: Eukaryota; Metazoa; Nematoda; Chromadorea; Rhabditida; Rhabditidae.
UUUCAGCGAAACAUUAUCUUU